UUAACGUACAUGUGUGAAAUCAACAAUAACAAUUACAAAACUUAUUUUGUGUGCGCGUUGACAUUCUCGGGUCGCGGCUGGAGCACCGGACCUUAAGCGACCUCCUGCCAAUGUUUACGUUUGCAUCGCGGCUGAACCCGUCCGCGUUGCUCCCAGUUAUUUUGCUCGUACAACUGUAGAACUUUAGCAACUGGUGGCAACCAUGAGUAUAAAACGUUCAUCAGGUGGUAGUGGUUCCUCGUAUCCAAAGAGAAUCUGGGAAAACGACAGUUUAGAGAAGAAAAUUAAAGUGUAAAACUGUAAUUGAAGGAUGAAAACAGUCUGCACACCUUGCCUGCACUGUCAUUGGUUAAGAUCAUUGACUGUAUGUCGUCCCUAAAUCAUCAACAUUGACAACAUAAGAGGCAUCAAGAUGACGAGUGAAGCGGUGAGUGUGUAUAAGGAGGCAGCCAACCGUUCUCUCGGGAGAUGAAAAGGCAGACAAUCCUGCGUCAACACACACUCAGCUGCUGCCUCUCAGCCUGAAUAGUGAAUAAACCGGUUGGUGAUAAAAGUGAAGAAGUGGAUGAAGACUCCGAACACGGGUGCUGAAGGCUCUGGAGUAGGCGAGUCCAACUAGG
This is a non-coding RNA of Procambarus clarkii (red swamp crayfish), 620 nucleotides long. The record is from RefSeq and is a predicted model, not a curated record. NCBI's taxonomy places the organism in Eukaryota, Metazoa, Arthropoda, Malacostraca, Decapoda, Cambaridae.